This 359-nucleotide long non-coding RNA is filed under the name Carica papaya (papaya). Its description in RNAcentral is "long non-coding RNA (CPAP_LNC014288)". The record is from RNAcentral. Lineage: Eukaryota; Viridiplantae; Streptophyta; Magnoliopsida; Brassicales; Caricaceae.
AACUCUAUUAUGUGGAAUGAAAGAAUCAUCAAGGUAGAUCCCUUUUUUGUUCUAACAGUUGUUUGAAUAGCCAUAUGUGCUCGUCAAUUGUCUAUUUCAAGCAAAGAAAAAAUUGCCUUUAUGGUUCAUUUGAAAUGGUAAUGGGCAUUUGGUAUUCAAUUUUUUAUUUAUUAGAGCCUGCGACUUUCGUACCAAAAGAGUGGUUGUACAGAAUAAUUCUGCACAUGGUGUAAUAAGGGCUUUUUUGCAGUAACUAUGCUGAAAGUGAAAUUAUAAAACUAAAUCAAUUUGCGAAACAAUAGUGGAAGUUUGAAAAUAAAGCAAGGUUUAAGUACUUGACAAGAUUGAGUUAAAUUGAU